Molecule: ribosomal RNA, 382 nt
Filed under: uncultured eukaryote
Lineage: Eukaryota
Description: partial 18S ribosomal RNA
Rfam family: Eukaryotic small subunit ribosomal RNA
Source: RNAcentral
UGUAAGCGUAUACCAAAGUUGUUGCAGUUAAAACGCUCGUAGUCGGAAUUUGGCAGUUCCGGAUGUGUGCACGUCGUGUGCGCACUUCGCGGGGAUUGCUUUUGUGGUCUUGCGUAGGAUGAGGCACUUUUAUUAGUGAACGUCCUCACGCAACCACUUUUUACUGAGAGAAAAUCAGAGUGCUCAAAGCAGGCAUUUGCCGUGAAUGUAUUAGCAUGGAAUAAUAGAAUAGGACUUGGUUCUAUUUUGUUGGUUUGUUGGGACUGAGUAAUGAUUAAGAGGGACAGUUGGGGGCAUUUGUAUUUCGGUGCUAGAGGUGAAAUUCUUAGAUUACCGAAAGACAAACUGCUGCGAAAGCGUCUGCCAAGGAUGUUUUCAUUGA